This 465-nucleotide ribosomal RNA is filed under the name Vreelandella stevensii. Its description in RNAcentral is "partial 16S ribosomal RNA". It matches the Rfam family "Bacterial small subunit ribosomal RNA", at positions 338 to 795 of the family's 1533-position model. The record is from RNAcentral. Lineage: Bacteria; Pseudomonadati; Pseudomonadota; Gammaproteobacteria; Oceanospirillales; Halomonadaceae.
CCUACGGGAGGCAGCAGUGGGGAAUAUUGGACAAUGGGGGCAACCCUGAUCCAGCCAUGCCGCGUGUGUGAAGAAGGCCCUCGGGGUGUAAAGCACUUUCAGUGAGGAAGAACGCCUGGUGGUUAAUACCCAUCAGGAAAGACAUCACUCACAGAAGAAGCACCGGCUAACUCCGUGCCAGCAGCCGCGGUAAUACGGAGGGUGCGAGCGUUAAUCGGAAUUACUGGGCGUAAAGCGCGCGUAGGUGGCUUGAUAAGCCGGUUGUGAAAGCCCCGGGCUCAACCUGGGAACGGCAUCCGGAACUGUCAAGCUAGAGUGCAGGAGAGGAAGGUAGAAUUCCCGGUGUAGCGGUGAAAUGCGUAGAGAUCGGGAGGAAUACCAGUGGCGAAGGCGGCCUUCUGGACUGACACUGACACUGAGGUGCGAAAGCGUGGGUAGCAAACAGGAUUAGAUACCCGUGUAGUC